This 468-nucleotide ribosomal RNA is filed under the name uncultured bacterium. RNAcentral describes it as "partial 16S ribosomal RNA". It matches the Rfam family "Bacterial small subunit ribosomal RNA", at positions 28 to 507 of the family's 1533-position model. The record is from RNAcentral.
GACGAACGCUGGCGGCGUGCUUAACACAUGCAAGUCGAACGGAAAGGCCCUGCUUUUGUUGGGUGCUCGAGUGGCGAACGGGUGAGUAACACGUGAGUAACCUGCCCUUGACUUUGGGAUAUCUUCACGAAACUGGGGCUAAUAUCGCAUAUGAGCUCCUGCUCCACGGGGUGGGUUGGAAAGUUUCGGCGGUUGGAGAUGGACUCGAGGCUUAUCGGCUUGUUUGUGGGGUUGUGGCUUUCCAAGUCUUCGACGGAUACCCGGCCUGAGAGGGUGACCGGCCACAAUGGUACUAAGGUAGGGCCCAGACUCCUACGGGAGGCAGCAGUGGGGAGUAUUGCGCAAUGGGCGGGAGCGUGAUGCGGCGACGCCGCGUGCGGGAUGACGGCCUUCGGGUUAUAAACCGCUUUCGCCUGUGACGAAGCGUGAGUGACGGUAAUGGGUAAAGAAGCACCGGCUAACUACGUG